GACGAACGCUGGCGGCGUGCUUAACACAUGCAAGUCGAGCGAUGAAUUUUCUUCGGAAAUGGAUUAGCGGCGAACGGGUGAGGAACACGUGAAGAAUCUGCCCUCCACUUUGGGAUAACACAGGGAAACCUGUGCUAAUACCGAAUAUUGAAACAUAAGUGGCAUCACUGAGUUUUGAAAAAAUUUCGGUGGAGGAUGACUUCGCGGCCUAUCAGCUAGUUGGUGAGGUAAUGGCUCACCAAGGCAACGACGGGUAGCCGGCCUGAGAGGGCGACCGGCCACACUGGGACUGAGACACGGCCAAGGCUCCUACGGGAGGCAGCAGUGGGGAAUAUUGGGCAAUGGAGGAAACUCUGACCCAGCGACGCCGCGUGCGGGAUGAAGGCCUUCGGGUUGUAAACCGCUUUCAGUAGGGAAGAAGCGAAAGUGACGGUACCUACAAAAGAAGCACCGGCUAACUAUGUGCCAGCCGCCGCCGUAA
Molecule: ribosomal RNA, 481 nt
Filed under: uncultured bacterium
Lineage: Bacteria
Description: partial 16S ribosomal RNA
Rfam family: Bacterial small subunit ribosomal RNA
Source: RNAcentral